GGAUGAACGCUGGCGGCGUGCCUACUCCAUGCAAGUCGAGCGAACAGACGAGGAGCUUGCUCCUCUGACGUUAGCGGCGGACGGGUGAGUAACACGUGGAUAACCUACCUAUAAGACUGGGAUAACUUCGGGAAACCGGAGCUAAUACCGGAUAAUAUAUUGAACCGCAUGGUUCAAUAGUGAAAGACGGUUUUGCUGUCACUUAUAGAUGGAUCCGCGCCGCAUUAGCUAGUUGGUAAGGUAACGGCUUACCAAGGCAACGAUGCGUAGCCGACCUGAGAGGGUGAUCGGCCACACUGGAACUGAGACACGGUCCAGACUCCUACGGGAGGCAGCAGUAGGGAAUCUUCCGCAAUGGGCGAAAGCUUGACGGAGCAACGCCGCGUGAGUGAUGAAGGUCUUCGGAUCGUAAAACUCUGUUAUUAGGGAAGAACAAAUGUGUAAGUAACUAUGCACGUCUUGACGGUACCUAAUCAGAAAGCCACGGCUAACUACGUG
This 498-nucleotide ribosomal RNA is filed under the name uncultured bacterium. Its description in RNAcentral is "partial 16S ribosomal RNA". It matches the Rfam family "Bacterial small subunit ribosomal RNA", at positions 27 to 507 of the family's 1533-position model. The record is from RNAcentral.